Long non-coding RNA from Esox lucius (northern pike), 448 nucleotides. RefSeq lists it as uncharacterized. Lineage: Eukaryota; Metazoa; Chordata; Actinopteri; Esociformes; Esocidae. The record is from RefSeq and is a predicted model, not a curated record. The transcript has 3 exons.
AUUUUGUUCUUCAAGGGUAUCUACGUGAUUGAAUCUAGCCAACAUGUUUCGGUUUGCUAAAGCAGCGCUUAACCUCUCCGGACAAGGUGCCCGUCAAGUUCGGUUCAAUUCGUCUGAGGCCGCCGACUUCCAUUCCAAGUAUGGUACUGGAUUAUUGGUUGGCGGAUUUGCGUUCUGUACAGCUGUGUGGGCAUUUGUAAUAACACAAACCGGUAUCACAUGGAAUCUAUCCCCAGUUGGUAAGGUCCAGCCCAAACCCUGGAGGGAGGAAGAAGAGUAACAGAUUCACUGCUCUCUUUUUCCCUGUGGAAAAUCAACCUCAGCAGACCAAUGUCCUUAUCCCAGAUAUUUCUAUAAGCAUUCUGGUUGUACAGAUGUAUACCCACUUUGUCAGCAUGUUGCCAUUCUGUCAUUACCAAUGUAAAAAAUAAAGUGUAAACCAAUUGUU